GCGGGGGAGGGGGAGUGCCGCAGGAGUGACAAUGGUGGAUGCCGAGCAAGGGAGAAAUGGAAACGGAGGUGACCAUAUGCUCAGUCGAAGAGAUGAUCUUUCCAUCCUACGUAUUUCUGGUGCUUUGGGA
Callorhinchus milii (elephant shark) is the source of this 130-nucleotide long non-coding RNA. RefSeq lists it as uncharacterized. The transcript is spliced from 3 exons. The record is from RefSeq and is a predicted model, not a curated record. Lineage: Eukaryota; Metazoa; Chordata; Chondrichthyes; Chimaeriformes; Callorhinchidae.